This 759-nucleotide ribosomal RNA is filed under the name uncultured bacterium. RNAcentral describes it as "bacterial SSU rRNA". It matches the Rfam family "Bacterial small subunit ribosomal RNA", at positions 8 to 796 of the family's 1533-position model. The record is from RNAcentral.
AGAGUUUGAUCAUGGCUCAGAACGAACGCUGGCGGCGUGGCUAAGGCAUGCAAGUCGAACGGACCCUUCGGGGUUAGUGGCGAACGGGUGAGGAAUACAUGGAUAACGUACCCUGAACUCAAGAAUAGCGAAGCGAAAGUUUCGGUAAUACUUGAUAACCCCACAGUAUCGCAUGGAACAGUGGGCAAAGUUACGGCGGUUCAGGAGCGGUUCAUGUCCUAUCAGCUUGUUGGUGGGGUAAUGGCCUACCAAGGCAACGACGGGUACCGGGCGUGAGAGCGUGACCCGGCACAUCGGCACUGAGACACUGGCCGGACACCUACGGGUGGCUGCAGCAACGAAUAUUCCGCAAUGGACGAAAGUCUGACGGAGCGACGCCGCGUGCAGGAAGAAUUCCCUCGGGAUGUAAACUGCUGUCAGGGGAUAGAAAGAUCUGAUCAACCCCAAAGGAAGCACCGGCUAACUCCGUGCCAGCAGCCGCGGUAAUACGGAGGGUGCAAGCGUUGUUCGGAAUCACUGGGCUUAAAGCGCGUGUAGGCGGAAUAUCAGGUGUCUUGUGAAAUCCCCAGGCUCAACCUGGGAAUUGCUUGGCAAACCGAUAUUCUUGAGGCAGGUAGAGGUCAUUGGAACGACUGGUGGAGCGGUGAAAUGCGUAGAUAUCAGUUGGAACGCCGGAGGCGAAAGCGAAUGACUGGGCCUGUCCUGACGCUGAGACGCGAAAGCGUGGGUAGCAAACAGGAUUAGAUACCCUAGUAGUCC